UUAUGACGUCACUCGUGAGCCACUACAAACAGUUCCUGAUGCACCCAUCUGCACUGUAAACAGAAAAUUGUAUUUGGCUGUAUUGUUUUUGAGUUGCUGCUUAAGUGGAAUUGUACACAGGCAGUCAAAAGGAAGCAGUGCAGUUUGGCUGGAAUUAUUCAAUAUACACCACUUUUAUUACAAGUGUUGUUGAGCAAUCUCUCAUCAUGGAGUGGCUGUUUGGUCGCAAGAAGACACCAGAAGAAAUGCUACGCCAAAAUCAGAGAGCUCUGAACAAAGCCAUGCGGGACCUUGAUCGUGAACGCCAAAAAAUGGAGCAGCAGGAAAAGAAAGUUAUUGCAGAUAUUAAAAAAAUGGCAAAGCAAGGGCAGAUGGAUGCAGUAAAGAUAAUGGCCAAAGACCUGGUUCGCACUCGUCGCUAUGUAAAGAAGUUCAUUGCCCUUCGAGCAAAUAUUCAGGCAGUAUCACUGAAGAUCCAGACCCUUAAAGCUAAUAAUACGAUGGCCCAGGCUAUGAAGGGUGUCACGAAAGCUAUGGCAACAAUGAACAGACAGCUCAAGCUACCACAGAUUCAGAAGAUUAUGAUGGAGUUUGAAAAGCAGUCUGAGAUGAUGGACAUGAAGGAAGAAAUGAUGAGUGAUGCCAUUGAUGAUGCAUUGGGCGAUGAGGAUGAUGAGGAGGAAAGUGAUGCCAUCGUUGCUCAGGUGCUGGAUGAAUUAGGACUUCAGAUGGCUGAUGAGUUGUCAGGUUUGCCAGGAACUGGAUCAUCACUGUCUGCAAAAGCAGGUCCUGCCAAAGCUCCACAGGCAGCUGCUGUUGGAGAUGCUGAUGCUGAUCUUGAAGCUCGAUUGGACAAUUUAAGGCGGCAGUGAUAACAUUUGCCAGUCCUUUACAACAUUUUCCUUUGUCCAUUUUUUUAAAAAUAUGUCUGUUUUUGGAAAAUGCAGACAUGCUGUUUGAGAUUAUGGGGCUAUUACCAUGAAUGGUAAUUAACUUUUAUAUAACUGUGUUUAUAAACUUUCAGCCACUUUUAUAUAACUUAAGCAGUAUGGUACAUUUUGAUAAUUUCCUUUUGGAUUGAAGUUUAGGAGAAACUGUAAUACAUGUAUGAUGUUCAAAUUGUUUGAGCUGCUUUAGUUCUGUGCCUCAUGCUUGUAAAUAGUCAACAAAUAGUGUGAAAGACUCAUUUACAUUUAACAAAAGUAGCAAUAUUUAAGUGACAAUUUUGGUCUUUUGUGAAUUCUUUCUCAAAUCAUUUGACUGUAACUGUAAAUAUUUGUAUAUGCCAUAAACAGAAUUUAAAUUUUUUUUUUUUCUUUUGGGGGGGAUUGAAUUUGGGGUGUAUGGGGAAACAUGAAUGACCUGCUAUGACCAAUAGCUCUCUUAGUAGGGAGUAUAUAAUAUCCUUGUUCCUUGAAAUAAGCUUUUCACAGAUAAGCUCUACUAGUGAUCAGUCCGCCACCCCACCCAUCUCCUCUUGCAGAAAAAAAAAACCUCUGAGAAACUUGCAGACUAACCGACAAGAGGUUACAAGUUUAAUGCUUUCGUUAGCUUGUUUUUAUGUAAACUGCACUGAGAUAAACUCCCAUGCUUUCAUCUCGCCAUAAAAAUACAAAUCACUGUUGUAUACCUGGUGGGUUUUUUUCACUACUCUUCUCUGCUACUUUUGAAGUAGCUUAAUAACCUUGUUUCCCACCACAGAAUGUGGUCUGAAUAGGACAUUAAUAAUAACCAUUUUAGAAAACUAAAGAUGUGUAUAGAUCAUGUAAUAUUUAUAUAUGUGUGUGUUAAGGUGGGCCAUUCUCAGAUCGCUUCAUAAAACUGACAUUAAACAAAUGAGCAUUGCUUUACUUUUUUUUAUGGUGGGAAUAAUGGUAUUUGGGUAUUAUCCAUGGCCAUAUACAGAAUGGACUACUAGCUGAUGAAUUGUCAUGCAAACUCCAAGAAUGGGUCUUUUGCAUAUGAGCUUUAACAUAAAAAUGGAAAGCACAUAGUGUAAACUCUUGUGUUGAUGGAAAUGCAACAUCUCAUACUUGUACGCUCUGUUUUUGGUUAAUUGGCUCUAAGCCAGGGGGAGUGGAGGCUGAAGACUUGCUGGAAAAGGGAGAAAAACCCCCAAAGCUAAGUAACAAACAUACUGGCAUAUAAAAUUUAAAAAAUUUGGCACUCUCUAUUCCCCAUCUAACCGGGUCCGAUGGCGGGGUGUGGUUGCGGCCCUAUGCUCCACGGGGUGAAUAGGAACAAGAAGAGAAGAAGAAUUCCCCAUCUGCUGUGGUUCUGGACAUUGUUUUUUUUUUAAGAGCUUACCGAGACUGGUCAGCUUAAGACUUGAGGAGAGGCUAAACUUUCCAAAAAACUGCCAGCAAUCCAGUUUGUGUUGGGUCCAUGGUAUGAAUCUAAAGUCUACCUUUUGGGUUGUCUGUUUUUGUGAGUGGCAGAGGAAAUAACUAGAAAAUAAGGUGAUAGAAAAUAUUAAUUAAGGACAAAAUCUAUACUGGGAAGAUCAGGAAUAGUAGAAAAAUGCACAUCUUAAAUGAACAUCCCGUGAGUGGGAACUUUGUUAUAGCCAUGUACAUUGUAUGCUUUCACAAUGCAAAAUAAUAUCCAUCAGUCCCCACGUGUAUGUGGGAUCAUAAAAAUAUGUAUGUUGCAAAUGUGCAGAUUCUUCCAUUGCCAAUGAAUAAAAAUCACAAUUUCAUAUUUGUUAAAGCUGUGCUUAUAUUUCAUGUUUCUGCUACCAGACUUUUGUCUUGGAUAGCAAAAUUCUGUAAGAUGUUGGCAGUAAAAGAAAUGUAUAAAUGUUCUGUCACUGUACAUGUUUAUUGUACAUCUUUUUUACCUUGAGUUGUACAAGUCAUGUGCAGCUUAUGAGCAUGUAAAAAGCCUACGUGCUUAUGCAAGCACUACAUACUGUGUUGUAUAUAACAUAAACAAUAAAUUUUAAAUGUUUA
This 2951-nucleotide unclassified non-coding RNA is filed under the name Pomacea canaliculata. Its description in RNAcentral is "charged multivesicular body protein 2a, transcript variant X1". Lineage: Eukaryota; Metazoa; Mollusca; Gastropoda; Architaenioglossa; Ampullariidae. The record is from RNAcentral.